AGGACGAACGCUGGCGGCGUGCUUAACACAUGCAAGUCGAGCGGAAAGGCCCUUCGGGGUACUCGAGCGGCGAACGGGUGAGUAACACGUGAGUAACCUGCCCCUAGCUCUGGGAUAGCUCCGGGAAACCGGGAUUAAAUACCAGAUACGACCACUUUAGACAUCUGUCGUGGUGGAAAGGAUUCCGGCUAGGGAUGGGCUCGCGGCCUAUCAGCUUGUUGGUGGGGUAACGGCCUACCAAGGCGACGAC
This 250-nucleotide ribosomal RNA is filed under the name uncultured bacterium. RNAcentral's name for it is "partial small subunit ribosomal RNA". It matches the Rfam family "Bacterial small subunit ribosomal RNA", at positions 26 to 280 of the family's 1533-position model. The record is from RNAcentral.